RNAcentral lists this ribosomal RNA (440 nucleotides) under uncultured bacterium. RNAcentral describes it as "bacterial SSU rRNA". It matches the Rfam family "Bacterial small subunit ribosomal RNA", at positions 338 to 771 of the family's 1533-position model. The record is from RNAcentral.
CCUACGGGAGGCAGCAGUAGGGAAUCUUCCGCAAUGGGCGAAAGCCUGACGGAGCAACGCCGCGUGAGUGAUGAAGGUUUUCGGAUCGUAAAGCUCUGUUGCCAGGGAAGAACGUCUUGUAGAGUAACUGCUACAAGAGUGACGGUACCUGAGAAGAAAGCCCCGGCUAACUACGUGCCAGCAGCCGCGGUAAUACGUAGGGGGCAAGCGUUGUCCGGAAUUAUUGGGCGUAAAGCGCGCGCAGGCGGCUCUUUAAGUCUGGUGUUUAAUCCCGAGGCUCAACUUCGGGUCGCACUGGAAACUGGGGAGCUUGAGUGCAGAAGAGGAGAGUGGAAUUCCACGUGUAGCGGUGAAAUGCGUAGAUAUGUGGAGGAACACCAGUGGCGAAGGCGACUCUCUGGGCUGUAACUGACGCUGAGGCGCGAAAGCGUGGGGAGCAA